Molecule: ribosomal RNA, 1053 nt
Filed under: Salmonella enterica subsp. enterica serovar Typhimurium
Lineage: Bacteria; Pseudomonadati; Pseudomonadota; Gammaproteobacteria; Enterobacterales; Enterobacteriaceae
Description: partial 23S ribosomal RNA
Rfam family: Bacterial large subunit ribosomal RNA
Source: RNAcentral
UUAACCGUAUAGGGGAGCCGGAGGGAAACCGAGUCUUAAUUGGGCGUUAAGUUGCAGGGUAUAGACCCGAAACCCGGUGAUCUAGCCAUGGGCAGGUUGAAGGUUGGGUAACACUAACUGGAGGACCGAACCGACUAAUGUUGAAAAAUUAGCGGAUGACCUGUGGCUGGGGGUGAAAGGCCAAUCAAACCGGGAGAUAGCUGGUUCUCCCCGAAAGCUAUUUAGGUAGCGCCUCGUGAAUUCAUCUCCGGGGGUAGAGCACUGUUUCGGCUAGGGGGCCAUCCCGGCUUACCAACCCGAUGCAAACUGCGAAUACCGGAGAAUGUUAUCACGGGAGACACACGGCGGGUGCUAACGUCCGUCGUGAAGAGGGAAACAACCCAGACCGCCAGCUAAGGUCCCAAAGUCAUGGUUAAGUGGGAAACGAUGUGGGAAGGCCCAGACAGCCAGGAUGUUGGCUUAGAAGCAGCCAUCAUUUAAAGAAAGCGUAAUAGCUCACUGGUCGAGUCGGCCUGCGCGGAAGAUGUAACGGGGCUAAACCAUGCACCGAAGCUGCGGCAGCGAACGUAUCACCCAAGACAACUUUACGGAGUUGACGAUUGACGGAGCGAAGCGACGUCAAAGCGUUCAUUAAAGUCGAGUUGGCUUAGGGAUACGUUCGUUGGGUAGGGGAGCGUUCUGUAAGCCUGUGAAGGUGUGUCGUGAGGCAUGCUGGAGGUAUCAGAAGUGCGAAUGCUGACAUAAGUAACGAUAAAGCGGGUGAAAAGCCCGCUCGCCGGAAGACCAAGGGUUCCUGUCCAACGUUAAUCGGGGCAGGGUGAGUCGACCCCUAAGGCGAGGCCGAAAGGCGUAGUCGAUGGGAAACGGGUUAAUAUUCCCGUACUUGGUGUUACUGCGAAGGGGGGACGGAGAAGGCUAUGUUGGCCGGGCGACGGUUGUCCCGGUUUAAGCGUGUAGGUGUGUGUUCCAGGUAAAUCCGGUUCACUUUAACACUGAGGCGUGACGACGAGGCACUACGGUGCUGAAGCAACAAAUGCCCUGCUUCCAGGAAAA